Long non-coding RNA from Phalaenopsis equestris, 302 nucleotides. RefSeq lists it as uncharacterized. The transcript has 2 exons. The record is from RefSeq and is a predicted model, not a curated record. Lineage: Eukaryota; Viridiplantae; Streptophyta; Magnoliopsida; Asparagales; Orchidaceae.
AUUAGCAGGAUCAACAGCAAGAUGAGAUGGAGCCAUUUAUGGGAUCUGGUCGUUUUGCGCGAGCCUAUACACUGGGUUACAGUUGUGUGGAUGAGGAGGAACUGGAAGCAGCGUUGAGGUUUUGCUGAAAUUCAAGUCUUUUGGGGUAUUUAUGAUAUGGCCUUAAAGGGUUUAGUUGUAUUAAUGAAAUAAAUAAGUUAUUUAAUGCCCUUUUAACAGGCUCAUGCAUGAUUUAUGAGAAAUGUUAUAUAUUUAAUCUUUUUAUUUUGGGCUUGGCUUUUAUAUAUAUAUAUUUGUUAUUA